CCAGCAAAUUUCUUUCCCUUUAUUAGCCUAUCUGCUGAUUCAGCAAAGUGGCUUGACUCACUAAGAGGGCGAGUGAGUGUCAGAGACAGCUGAAGGAGUAAAGAGUUAGAGCUCUCAGUCAUUGUAGGAAGUUGUGCUUGCCUGUGUAUAGCAGUGGUUAGAAUGCUUUGUUGUUUCCAGCAGUGUGAGCUGAAAAAGAUCUUUUUUCCUCUGGAGACUGUGAGCAGUUACAUAUCAUUGCAGCAGCCGGCAAACCUCUUCUAUGGAGACGUAAAAGACAAGAAUUGGUAAAAAUAACGAGACACAGCUGAGCCAGG
Molecule: long non-coding RNA, 317 nt
Organism: Numida meleagris (helmeted guineafowl)
Lineage: Eukaryota; Metazoa; Chordata; Aves; Galliformes; Numididae
Exons: 3
Source: RefSeq, a predicted model, not a curated record